UUUUUUUUUUUGGGUAUUUCCCCCCGUGACUUAGCAUAUCAGUAAGCGGAGGAAAAGAAACUAACGAGGAUUCCCGUAGUAACGGCGAGUGAACUGGGACGAGUCCAGCGCUGAAUCGCGGCGCCUCUGGUGCCGCGAGGUGUAGCGUACAGACCGUGAGCUUGGGUAGGCGUGUCCGUUCAAGUUCCCCUUGACCGGGGCUCCAGAGAAGGUGCAAGACCUGUCCAACGGAUGCUGCCGGCCCAUCUUCGCGCGUCUUGGAGUCGGGUUGUUUGGGAGCGCAGCCCAAAGAAGGUGGUAAACUUCAUCUAAGACUGAAUAUGACCACGAGUCCGAUAGCGAACAAGUACCGUGAGGGAAAGUUGCAAAGCACUUUGAAGAGAGAGUUAAAGAGGACGUGAAACCGAUGAGGUGGAAACGGACAGAGCUGGCGUAUCUGGCCUGCAUUCAGCUGUGCCCCGCUGGCGUCAGGGAUGCCGCUCUCCAGAUUGGGACGGUGGCCUGUCUGCCGGCGGGUUUGCGGUGCAUUUGCAGGUGGAGUGCGCCGAGGCGCUCGGUGCAGCGGCAUGAGCUUGGCUUUGAGGCCAGCCCCUCACGGGGUCUGGUACCCGGGCCAGGGGAGUGCUGUUUGUGCUGGGCGACAGCCAUGGGCAAUGGACUCGGGCUCGUGUGGGUGCCGAGCUGGAGGUCGGCGUCGGUCGCUUGCGACACGUGCCGGCACUCAGUUCGGUCCUGCUCGAGCUCACAUCUGCCCGUCCUCGGUGUAAAAGCCGGUCAUCUGUCCGACCCGUCUUGAAACACGGACCAAGGAGUUUAGCGUGUGCGCGAGUCAUUGGGCGUUGAAAACCCAAAGGCGUAAUGAAAGUGAAGGUCUCCCUUGCGGAGCUGACGUGUGAUCCUGGGCACCGCGGUGCGCCGGGCGCAACAUGGUCCCGUCCCGAUUGCUUGCAAUGGGGCGGAGACAGAGCGUACGCGCUGAGACCCGAAAGAUGGUGAACUAUUCCUGAGCAGGAUGAAGCCAGAGGAAACUCUGGUGGAAGUCCGAAGCGAUUCUGACGUGCAAAUCGAUCGUCUGACUUGGGUAUAGGGGCGAAAGACUAAUCGAACAUCUAUACUGGGGUUCCUUCCCAAAAA
RNAcentral lists this ribosomal RNA (1134 nucleotides) under Helicotylenchus vulgaris. RNAcentral describes it as "partial large subunit ribosomal RNA". It matches the Rfam family "Eukaryotic large subunit ribosomal RNA", at positions 1 to 968 of the family's 3401-position model. Lineage: Eukaryota; Metazoa; Nematoda; Chromadorea; Rhabditida; Hoplolaimidae. The record is from RNAcentral.